This 231-nucleotide unclassified non-coding RNA is filed under the name Hevea brasiliensis (rubber tree). The record is from RNAcentral. Lineage: Eukaryota; Viridiplantae; Streptophyta; Magnoliopsida; Malpighiales; Euphorbiaceae.
UCUCUCUCUCUCUCUCUCUCGCAAUCAACUGUCACUUUCUGUUAGUGGGUUUUCGUUCUCGCCAUCAGUUUCACUCCGUCACUUCCUCUUUAUUCAUUCUCAGCCCUUUCACAAUUGCCAAGAAUUUGCAAAUUCGUAAACGGGAAGAGAAAGAAGAGAGACGGGAAAGCGAAAAAAUUUAUGAAAUUAAAACCAGAGCCGUCCUUUAAAGAGGGGAGAAAUUCUAAAAUA